This 429-nucleotide ribosomal RNA is filed under the name Bacillota bacterium. RNAcentral's name for it is "Firmicutes bacterium partial 16S ribosomal RNA". It matches the Rfam family "Bacterial small subunit ribosomal RNA", at positions 355 to 776 of the family's 1533-position model. Lineage: Bacteria; Bacillati; Bacillota. The record is from RNAcentral.
UAGGGAAUCUUCCACAAUGGACGCAAGUCUGAUGGAGCAACGCCGCGUGAGUGAAGAAGGUUUUCGGAUCGUAAAGCUCUGUUGUUGGUGAAGAAGGAUAGAGGCAGUAACUGGUCUUUAUUUGACGGUAAUCAACCAGAAAGUCACGGCUAACUACGUGCCAGCAGCCGCGGUAAUACGUAGGUGGCAAGCGUUGUCCGGAUUUAUUGGGCGUAAAGCGAGCGCAGGCGGAAAGAUAAGUCUGAUGUGAAAGCCCACGGCUCAACCGUGGAACUGCAUCGGAAACUGUCAUUCUUGAGUGCAGAAGAGGAGAGUGGAAUUCCAUGUGUAGCGGUGGAAUGCGUAGAUAUAUGGAAGAACACCAGUGGCGAAGGCGGCUCUCUGGUCUGCAACUGACGCUGAGGCUCGAAAGCAUGGGUAGCGAACAGG